AUUGAACGCUGGCGGAAUGCUUUACACAUGCAAGUCGAACGGCAGCACGGACUUCGGUCUGGUGGCGAGUGGCGAACGGGUGAGUAAUGUAUCGGAACGUGCCCAGUCGUGGGGGAUAACGUAGUGAAAAUUACGCUAAUACCGCAUACGAUCUAUGGAUGAAAGCGGGGGAUCGCAAGACCUCGCGCGAUUGGAGCGGCCGAUAUCAGAUUAGGUAGUUGGUGGGGUAAAGGCCCACCAAGCCAACGAUCUGUAGCUGGUGUGAGAGGACGACCAGCCACACUGGAACUGAGACACGGUCCAGACUCCUACGGGAGGCAGCAGUGGGGAGUUUUGGACAGUGGGCGAAAGGCUGAUCCAGCCAUUCCGCGUGGAGGAUGAAGGCCCUCGGUUUGUAAACUGCUUUUGUACAGAACGAAAAGGUUUCUACUAAUACUAGGAGCUCAUGACGGUACUGUAAGAAUAAGAACCGGCUAACUACGUGCCAGCCGCCGCAGUAA
Molecule: ribosomal RNA, 500 nt
Filed under: uncultured bacterium
Lineage: Bacteria
Description: partial 16S ribosomal RNA
Rfam family: Bacterial small subunit ribosomal RNA
Source: RNAcentral